This 429-nucleotide ribosomal RNA is filed under the name Bacillota bacterium. RNAcentral's name for it is "Firmicutes bacterium partial 16S ribosomal RNA". It matches the Rfam family "Bacterial small subunit ribosomal RNA", at positions 355 to 776 of the family's 1533-position model. Lineage: Bacteria; Bacillati; Bacillota. The record is from RNAcentral.
UAGGGAAUCUUCGGCAAUGGACGGAAGUCUGACCGAGCAACGCCGCGCGUGUGAAGAAGGUUUUCUGAUCGUAAAGCUCUGUUGUUUGAGAAGAACGUUGGUAGGAGUGGAAAAUCUACCAAGUGACGGUAACUAACCAGAAAGGGACGGCUAACUACGUGCCAGCAGCCGCGGUAAUACGUAGGUCCCGAGCGUUGUCCGGAUUUAUUGGGCGUAAAGCGAGCGCAGGCGGUUCUUUACGUCUGAAGUUAAAGGCAGUGGCUUAACCAUUGUACGCUUUGGAAACUGGAGGACUUGAGUGCAGAAGGGGAGAGUGGAAUUCCAUGUGUAGCGGUGAAAUGCGUAGAUAUAUGGAGGAACACCGGUGGCGAAAGCGGCUCUCUGGUCUGUAACUGACGCUGAGGCUCGAAAACGUGGGGAGCAAACAGG